Molecule: long non-coding RNA, 906 nt
Filed under: Ananas comosus (pineapple)
Lineage: Eukaryota; Viridiplantae; Streptophyta; Magnoliopsida; Poales; Bromeliaceae
Description: long non-coding RNA (ACOM_LNC034170)
Source: RNAcentral
UCAAGAAGUUUAUCUCAUUCCUAGGCUAAGAGGAUAUUUUGGGGAACCACGAGAAACCCUAACAGUAUAAACCAGUAAGGAUUUCUUAACUAAGGUGGGUAGAAGCUCUCUGGUAGUGGUUUGGUCUUACUCUAUGUCUAAUAGCAUUAUUUUGAGCAUUGAUGAUUAAAAUUCUACUCUUGCUUGUUAGUUGCUUCCUUUGAUUCCAUGAUUUUGUCGUUAUUGUUCAUUUAGCAUGCUUAAUAAAUCUCUAUCGAUAUUGCUUAUUGUCUAUCUUGACAGUGGGCAUUUCUCUUGAGCAAAGCAUGCUUGCUGUAUAGUAACAGAGCAAAGUAUUUUAUGAAUCAUCAUUCCUCUAUUACCUGCUUACUAGUUGUAGCAUCUUCUUAUUAAAAGUCUUAAUUGAGAUGAUUUAUUGAUUAGUUUGAACAUGAGCAUAUAACCAUAUCUUGCAAACUGAGAUAUUGGUUAAAAACAUUUUGGGUAGUCGCUCCUUUGAUUACCCCUCCGGAGUUGGAUUAGAAAAUUCUUUAAACUAUUUAAAAUAAGAUCUAUACUCUUGAUCUUGAUUACAAAACUCCUAUCAUCACUUUCUAAAAGAUAUUCAUUUUUAAUCGUUCAAUUUUGUAUCCACUUGAUAGACAAGAGAACAAUAUCAUAAAAGUAUGAAAUUUGAUUUCCAGAUAAUUUAAAAGGUCUAAGAUCAUAUUCAACGAUGUCAAUCGUCGAUUUGGAACAAGGUCUAAGAUCAUAUUCAACGAUGUCAAUCGUCGAUUUGGAGGCUCCAUCAUCGAAAACAAAUCGGCAAAAACGGAGCCCUUUUACUACUAAUAGCAUUUCAGCUCAACUCUAUAUAUAUAUAGGUGUGUGCACGCGCGCACGUGCGUACGUGUUUGCAUAUUUGCA